Molecule: ribosomal RNA, 1373 nt
Filed under: Streptomyces aureus
Lineage: Bacteria; Bacillati; Actinomycetota; Actinomycetes; Kitasatosporales; Streptomycetaceae
Description: bacterial SSU rRNA
Rfam family: Bacterial small subunit ribosomal RNA
Source: RNAcentral
GGUGGAUUAGUGGCGAACGGGUGAGUAACACGUGGGCAAUCUGCCCUUCACUCUGGGACAAGCCCUGGAAACGGGGUCUAAUACCGGAUUACACUCCUGCCUGCAUGGGUGGGGGUUAAAAGCUCCGGCGGUGAAGGAUGAGCCCGCGGCCUAUCAGCUUGUUGGUGAGGUAGUGGCUCACCAAGGCGACGACGGGUAGCCGGCCUGAGAGGGCGACCGGCCACACUGGGACUGAGACACGGCCCAGACUCCUACGGGAGGCAGCAGUGGGGAAUAUUGCACAAUGGGCGAAAGCCUGAUGCAGCGACGCCGCGUGAGGGAUGACGGCCUUCGGGUUGUAAACCUCUUUCAGCAGGGAAGAAGCGAAAGUGACGGUACCUGCAGAAGAAGCGCCGGCUAACUACGUGCCAGCAGCCGCGGUAAUACGUAGGGCGCAAGCGUUGUCCGGAAUUAUUGGGCGUAAAGAGCUCGUAGGCGGCUUGUCACGUCGGUUGUGAAAGCCCGGGGCUUAACCCCGGGUCUGCAGUCGAUACGGGCAGGCUAGAGUGUGGUAGGGGAGAUCGGAAUUCCUGGUGUAGCGGUGAAAAUGCGCAGAUAUCAGGAGGAACACCGGUGGCGAAGGCGGAUCUCUGGGCCAUUACUGACGCUGAGGAGCGAAAGCGUGGGGAGCGAACAGGAUUAGAUACCCUGGUAGUCCACGCCGUAAACGGUGGGAACUAGGUGUUGGCGACAUUCCACGUCGUCGGUGCCGCAGCUAACGCAUUAAGUUCCCCGCCUGGGGAGUACGGCCGCAAGGCUAAAACUCAAAGGAAUUGACGGGGGCCCGCACAAGCAGCGGAGCAUGUGGCUUAAUUCGACGCAACGCGAAGAACCUUACCAAGGCUUGACAUACACCGGAAAGCAUUAGAGAUAGUGCCCCCCUUGUGGUCGGUGUACAGGUGGUGCAUGGCUGUCGUCAGCUCGUGUCGUGAGAUGUUGGGUUAAGUCCCGCAACGAGCGCAACCCUUGUUCUGUGUUGCCAGCAUGCCCUUCGGGGUGAUGGGGACUCACAGGAGACUGCCGGGGUCAACUCGGAGGAAGGUGGGGACGACGUCAAGUCAUCAUGCCCCUUAUGUCUUGGGCUGCACACGUGCUACAAUGGCAGGUACAAAGAGCUGCGAAGCCGCGAGGCGGAGCGAAUCUCAAAAAGCCUGUCUCAGUUCGGAUUGGGGUCUGCAACUCGACCCCAUGAAGUCGGAGUUGCUAGUAAUCGCAGAUCAGCAUUGCUGCGGUGAAUACGUUCCCGGGCCUUGUACACACCGCCCGUCACGUCACGAAAGUCGGUAACACCCGAAGCCGGUGGCCCAACCCCUUGUGGGAGGGAGCUGUCGAAG